GCAUAUGAUGUGGACAAUCCCGCAAGUAACCCUUAAACCUCUUCCAUGCCUGUGAUAGAGAUUCAGAGUCUUUCUGAGUGAAGGUGGCAAUCUUUACUCUCAGCUC
Small nucleolar RNA from Lycium ferocissimum, 106 nucleotides. The record is from RefSeq and is a predicted model, not a curated record. Lineage: Eukaryota; Viridiplantae; Streptophyta; Magnoliopsida; Solanales; Solanaceae.